This 450-nucleotide ribosomal RNA is filed under the name uncultured bacterium. Its description in RNAcentral is "partial 16S ribosomal RNA". It matches the Rfam family "Bacterial small subunit ribosomal RNA", at positions 354 to 796 of the family's 1533-position model. The record is from RNAcentral.
GUGGGGAAUAUUGGACAAUGGGCGCAAGCCUGAUCCAGCCAUGCCGCGUGUGUGAAGAAGGCCUUCGGGUUGUAAAGCCCUUUUGUACGGGAAGAAAUCAUUAGGGUUAAUACCCUGGGUGGAUGACGGUACCGUAAGAAUAAGCACCGGCUAACUUCGUGCCAGCAGCCGCGGUAAUACGAAGGGUGCAAGCGUUAAUCGGAAUUACUGGGCGUAAAGCGUGCGUAGGUGGUUGUUCAAGUCUGUCGUGAAAGCCCUGGGCUCAACCUGGGAAUGGCGAUGGAAACUGGGCGACUAGAGUGCGGUAGAGGAUGGCGGAAUUCCCGGUGUAGCGGUGAAAUGCGUAGAGAUCGGGAGGAACAUCCGUGGCGAAGGCGGCCAUCUGGACCAGCACUGACACUGAGGCACGAAAGCGUGGGGAGCAAACAGGAUUAGAAACCCCAGUAGUCC